AUACUUACCUGGCAGGGGAGAUACCAUGAUCACAAAGGUGGUUUUCCCAGGGCAAGGCUUAUCCAUUACACUCCGGAUGUGCUGACCCCUGCGAUUUCCCCAAAUGUGGGAAACUCAACUGCAUAAUUUGUGGUAGUGGGGGACUGCAUUCACGCUCUCCCCUU
This 164-nucleotide small nuclear RNA is filed under the name Echinops telfairi (small Madagascar hedgehog). RNAcentral's name for it is "U1 spliceosomal RNA (ENSETEG00000022282.1)". It matches the Rfam family "U1 spliceosomal RNA". Rfam says of the family: U1 is a small nuclear RNA (snRNA) component of the spliceosome (involved in pre-mRNA splicing). The record is from RNAcentral. Lineage: Eukaryota; Metazoa; Chordata; Mammalia; Afrosoricida; Tenrecidae.